GCCCUGAUCACGAAACACAGUAAUAAAAUGAAUCUGGAGAGUUUGAUCCUGGCUCAGAACGAACGCUGGCGGCGUGCCUAACACAUGCAAGUCCAACGUGAAAGGGGAGCAAUCCCCCGGUAGGGUGGCAAACGGGUGAGUAAUACAUGGGUGAUCUACCUUAGGGAUGGGGAUAUCCUUCCGAAAGGAGGGGCAAUACCGAAUAUUGUCCGGAGCCGUGAA
RNAcentral lists this ribosomal RNA (222 nucleotides) under uncultured bacterium. RNAcentral's name for it is "partial 16S ribosomal RNA". The stretch from base 31 to 222 matches the Rfam family "Bacterial small subunit ribosomal RNA", at positions 1 to 192 of the family's 1533-position model. The record is from RNAcentral.